GCCCUAGUAACGGCGAGUGAAGCGGCAACAGCUCAAAUUUGAAAUCUGGCUUCGGCCCGAGUUGUAAUUUGCAGAGGAUGUUUAUGGUGCGGUACCUUCCGAGUUCCCUGGAACGGGACGCCACAGAGGGUGAGAGCCCCGUCUGGUUGGAUACCAAACCUGUGUUAAACUCCUUCAACGAGUCGAGUAGUUUGGGAAUGCUGCUCUAAAUGGGAGGUAAAUCUCUUCUAAAGCUAAAUACCGGCCAGAGACCGAUAGCGCACAAGUAGAGUGAUCGAAAGAUGAAAAGCACCUUGAAAAGGGGGUUAAACAGUACGUGAAAUUGUUAAAAGGGAAGCGUUUAUGACCAGACUUGUGUCGUGUGGCUCAUCCGAGGUUCUCCCCGGUGCACUCCACACGGCUCAGGCCAACAUCGGUUCUCGUUGGGGGAUAAGAACAGUAGGAACGUGGCCCCUCUCGGGGGGUGUUAUAGCCUAUUGUACGAUACCCUGAUGGGGACCGAGGACCGCGCUUCGGCUAGGAUGUUGGCGUAAUGGUCAUUAGCGACCCGUCUUGAAACACGGACCAAGGAGUCGUCCAUUAGAGCGAG
This 589-nucleotide ribosomal RNA is filed under the name Sirococcus castaneae. Its description in RNAcentral is "LSU rRNA". It matches the Rfam family "Eukaryotic large subunit ribosomal RNA", at positions 77 to 690 of the family's 3401-position model. The record is from RNAcentral. Lineage: Eukaryota; Fungi; Ascomycota; Sordariomycetes; Diaporthales.